AGCAGUCGCCGCGGUAAUACGGAGGAUCCAAGCGUUAUCCGGAAUCAUUGUGUUUAAAGGGUCCGUAGGCGGUCUUGUAAGUCAGUGGUGAAAGCCCAUCGCUCAACGGUGGAACGGCCAUUGAUACUGCAGGACUUGAAUUAUUGGGAAGUAACUAGAAUAUGUAGUGUAGCGGUGAAAUGCUUAGAGAUUACAUGGAAUACCAAUUGCGAAGGCAGGUUACUACCAAUUGAUUGACGCUGAUGGACGAAAGCGUGGGUAGCGAACAGGAUUAGAUACCCGGGUAGUCCCUGUCUCUUAUAC
Molecule: ribosomal RNA, 303 nt
Filed under: uncultured bacterium
Lineage: Bacteria
Description: partial 16S ribosomal RNA
Rfam family: Bacterial small subunit ribosomal RNA
Source: RNAcentral